Molecule: long non-coding RNA, 1127 nt
Organism: Callorhinus ursinus (northern fur seal)
Lineage: Eukaryota; Metazoa; Chordata; Mammalia; Carnivora; Otariidae
Source: RefSeq, a predicted model, not a curated record
AAGGCAGCAGGGCAAAGCUAUGAGCUCAGCCGACAUCGAGCUCUGCUCCACAGGAAGUGUGGCUGGAAUCUCAGGCUUAUCCCAUCUUGGAGCAAGGGCUUUCCUGGGCACUAGGCAUUCCCCUCCCCAUUACGGGCCUGGUCCAGGGUGCCUGACGCAAGUUGCAAGCUCUCAAGAUUCUGGGAUACCACAAGGAUGGCAUCUGAGUCCACAACCUAGGGACAAAAUCCAUACCUCGACGGCACGAUGACCAGGGAUCCUCAGAACUGCUAAGAGAAAGAAGUGAAAUCUGACAAGAGAAACCUCAGAGCUAAUCAGAAGAAAGGAGCCCUGACAGUCUCAGGUCUGACACCAUUAAAAUCUUCUGUGCAACGACUUUAUUCGUCGAGGCAAAGGCAAAUGUGGGAGAGCUUCCUCUGACACCUGAAGGAUGUUGUGGGGAAAAAGCGAGACUUCUUCUGAACACUUCAUGACCAGGCAGGGGGGCUUCCUGCAGGGGCUCUGGAGUCAGCUCUGCCCUUGACCAGCUGGCUGACCUUGCUCAAGCUCUCGAGCCUUUCUGAACCCGAGCUUGCUCAUCUGUUUAAUGGGGACAAUGCUAUCUACCGCUAGCUCGCCACAGAGGUGAGGUUCUGGAGACCCGGGAGUCUGACAGGGUUUCUCCGAGAUAAAAUCAAGGCAUUGGCACGGCUGCUUUCCUUUCUGAAUGUUCUAAGGGAGAAUCCAUUUCCCUGGAGUGUUGAAUCUUUGAAUCCUCUCCAGCUUCUAGAGGUCACACAUUCCGUGGCUCACGGCCCUCUUACUCCAAGGCGGAUGCCAACAAUGGUGGCUUGUCUCCUCUUCAUGUGGCAUUGCUCUGACUUUCUCUUCUGAUACCUUCUUCCACUUCUAAGGAGUCUGAGAUGACCUCAGGCCCACCUGGAUCAUCUAGGAUGCUUUCUCUAUUUUGAAGUCAGCUGAUAACCACCUCCAUUCCAUCUGCAACUUUAAUUCCCCACUGCCGUGUAGGGUAAUAAAUUCACAGACCCCAGAGAUUGACAUGUGCACACCUUUUGGGGGGGGUGGUCAUUUUUUUGCCUACCUACCCCAAUAAGAGUUCCGUCACUGUGGGUUUUGCCAUCAAUAAA